GCCAUGCCGCGUGUAGGAAGANUGCCCUAUGGGUUGUAAACUACUUUUAUAUGGGAAGAAUAAGGUCUACGUGUAGACUGAUGACGGUACCAUAAGAAUAAGCACCGGCUAACUCCGUGCCAGCAGCCGCGGUAAUACGGAGGGUGCAAGCGUUAUCCGGAAUCAUUGGGUUUAAAGGGUCCGUAGGCGGGCAUAUAAGUCAGUGGUGAAAGUCUGUGGCUCAACCAUAGAAUUGCCAUUGAUACUGUAUGUCUUGAAUUAUUGUGAAGUGGUUAGAAUAUGUAGUGUAGCGGUGAAAUGCUUAGAGAUUACAUAGAAUACCGAUUGCGAAGGCAGAUCACUAACAAUAUAUUGACGCUGAUGGACGAAAGCGUAGGUAGCGAACAGGAUUAGAUACCCNGGUAG
This 405-nucleotide ribosomal RNA is filed under the name Dokdonia sp. Asnod3E12. RNAcentral's name for it is "bacterial SSU rRNA". It matches the Rfam family "Bacterial small subunit ribosomal RNA", at positions 391 to 793 of the family's 1533-position model. The record is from RNAcentral. Lineage: Bacteria; Pseudomonadati; Bacteroidota; Flavobacteriia; Flavobacteriales; Flavobacteriaceae.